This is a non-coding RNA of Paramuricea clavata, 298 nucleotides long. NCBI's taxonomy places the organism in Eukaryota, Metazoa, Cnidaria, Anthozoa, Malacalcyonacea, Plexauridae. The record is from the annotation of a GenBank genome assembly.
UGCAGUGGCGGCGCCAGGCUUCCAAAUUUGGGGGGGGCAUUUGAGGGGCAAACUCAAAUUUUGGGGGGCAAGAUAGAAUUUUUAAAAAGGUCGCCCCCCCCCAGGAAAUUCCCCUCCCCCCCUCAAAACUUGGCGAUAUUCCUAGGAAUAUCGCCUCCCAAGGGGGUGGGGCGAAUACCCUAGGAAUAUCGCCCCUCUUUAGGACAUUCGCCCCCCAUAUAUGCGAUGUGGUUUAUUCAAAUAAUUUCGUGAUACUUUCAUCUUAUUAUUGCCUUACACGUUUGAGAAUUUAACUCUG